AAGUGGACCGCACGUGACAGACGCUUAUGAACCCCGUCAGAUCCGGGAGGAAGCAGCGGUAAAUAAGGCAGCCUGUGUCGUGCUGCAAUCUAUUUUUU
This 98-nucleotide signal recognition particle RNA is filed under the name Deltaproteobacteria bacterium. RNAcentral's name for it is "signal recognition particle sRNA small type". It matches the Rfam family "Bacterial small signal recognition particle RNA". From Rfam's summary of the family: The signal recognition particle (SRP) is a universally conserved ribonucleoprotein involved in the co-translational targeting of proteins to membranes. Archaeal SRP consists of a 7S RNA and homologues of the eukaryotic SRP19 and SRP54 proteins. Lineage: Bacteria; Pseudomonadati; Myxococcota; Myxococcia. The record is from RNAcentral.